This 328-nucleotide non-coding RNA is filed under the name Drosophila persimilis. Its description in RNAcentral is "Eukaryotic large subunit ribosomal RNA". It matches the Rfam family "Eukaryotic large subunit ribosomal RNA", at positions 2042 to 2310 of the family's 3401-position model. Lineage: Eukaryota; Metazoa; Arthropoda; Insecta; Diptera; Drosophilidae. The record is from Rfam by way of RNAcentral.
AGAAUACUAAUUGGGUUAAACCAGUUAGUUCUUAUUAAUUAUAACGAUUAUCAAUUAACAAUCAAUUCAGAACUGGCACGGACUUGGGGAAUCCGACUGUCUAAUUAAAACAAAGCAUUGUGAUGGCCCUAGCGGGUGUUGACACAAUGUGAUUUCUGCCCAGUGCUCUGAAUGUCAAAGUGAAGAAAUUCAAGUAAGCGCGGGUCAACGGCGGGAGUAACUAUGACUCUCUUAAACGCGGCCGCGUUCGCAGAUGAUAUUGUCUUAUUUGCGGAAACUCGUUUAGGCCUUCAAACAAUGCUAGACACGACUGUCGAUUUUCUAUCUU